Molecule: long non-coding RNA, 2871 nt
Filed under: Solanum lycopersicum (tomato)
Lineage: Eukaryota; Viridiplantae; Streptophyta; Magnoliopsida; Solanales; Solanaceae
Description: long non-coding RNA (SLYC_LNC001286)
Source: RNAcentral
AAUUCCUCUAUAUAAACCCCCCGUCUUCUUCAGAAAAGGGGUUGGAAAAAUUUUGGGAUAUAUUUUUAUCACAUAAAGAUAUAGAGGAAUUUUGAGGAAGCUCUCCGAUUUUUUUUCUUACUAAUACUUUAGCUGGAAUUUCCUAGCAAGAUAUAUUCAUAUAAAGGGGGAAGAAUAAUCGAGCUACGAAAGCAUAGCAAGUUAAGAAGCAAGGGGUUGUUGUUCAAGUUGUGGAAGCUCGUCUUUGCUAGCUCGUCCGUCUCUAGUUCGCUGCCCCGAAGGAGGUGAAAUUCCCUAAUUUCAACUCACUCAUUAUUUUAUUCUGUUAUCUUUCAGCAAAUAUGAAGUUCUUUAUCGGUUUCUUCCUCCUCUUACUCGAUCAUUUUCCAUUUUUUGUGAGUUGUGUUUGAUAGUGAUGAGAUUUUUCGUUGGGUUCCGAAUAGUUUAUCCGCGUUUAAGGUAUAUAUAUGUUUGAUGACAUGGACUGCUCUUCUUCGAAUACCAUGUAGAUUGAUGAUAGAAUGAAAGAUUUAUUGAUGUUGUUCCUAGGAUUUGGAUUUGGUCUGUCAUUGUUUGAUUAAUUUUUGUAAUUUUUUGAGCAUGUUCUCGUUCUUUUGUAGACGCUUCCCCUGUGUUAUCCUUUCUUUUUAGCCAUCAUGAGUAGAAGUUGCUUGGCAUGUGAUGUUAAGUCAUCACUCUAUUUCAUUAGGUUGGAUAUCAAUCGAACGCCAGCUCUUCCACACCCUCUUUCGAAUGUUUACAGCCUUGAGAGGCUGAUUUUACUUCGUCAUGGCUGAACUAUUUGCUUUCUUUUUGUGUAUAUGCAUUUGACCUUGUGGUUAGCAUCAUCCCGUCACUUUGUUUAGAUAUAUGAAUUUGGAUGCUAAUGCCUUAGGUUGUAUGUUGUUAGCUUUGACCUUUAGCCUCUUUUUCAUUCCUUGAUUAUCCUUUGUCAUGUACUGUUUAUGCUGUUUACCAUGACAUUGCUGUCAUAUUUAUUUCUUGGACAUGAGAUGUUCAUAAGUGCAUACCCAUGUUAUUGUUCCUGCUUGAAGUUUGUUGUCGAUUGUCUUAUUCAUAAGGCAUAUGUGAAGUUAUGGAAGUAAAAGGGAGGGAGUAUUAACCCAUAUGUUGUCAUUUGUUUUCCCUCUUGACACCUUGCUGUUUGUGUGCCCAAGAUUUGUAUGAUUCGAUCUGAGUGUGUUUCCUUUUAUGUGUGGUUUGUUCAUUCGAUCGAGUAAAUAUCAUAAUCUUUAAAAUAAGAUAAAAAAUUCUUUCUUUCUUUUCUUUAGAUGCUGCCAUUCUACCUUGCCAAUGUUUUUUUUUGUGACAUCGAUUCGAGUCCACUUUGGACUCCAUUCUCACAUUCCUACGAGUUGCAAAUCCUCGAGUCAUCCAUUUUCAAAAGUCUAGAAGGCCAAAGCUGAUUUGCAGGUCGAAACAGCAUAAAUGCAGUGCUGGAAAAGUGGCUGGAAAUUAUUUUGCAGGGAUUUGAAGAAGAUGUAUACAACAAUAUACAUAUUUUAUACACAGUUAUAUACUGAUAUACAGGUCUAAAAUACAGGUGGAUCCAAAUUCGAAAUCUGGACUUGUUCAGUGAAGAUAGGUUGCUAAAGGGAACUUUCAACUUUUGAAAAGUUGAAAAACAGUCUGAUAUACAGCCUAUAUACACUGAUAUACAGAGAUAUUAUACCUUAAAUAUGUGUAAAAAAUAAAUAUGAAUUGCAGGUUAACCUAUAGAGACGCCGAUUUCAGAUAAAAUACGGAAAAAUGCAAAAGAUAUGUACAUAGGAACCCAUAUACAUUGGUAUACAUUUCUGGGCAGCGAUACAAAAUUGUUAAACAAGUUUUAAAAUGGUACAGGUACAAAUACGCAGAGAUAAUAUGGAAAAUACAGGGUGAAUAGUGAGAAACACGUAUUCAAACAAGUGCAGGCCUCAAAAAGUCUAAUACGAAUUGGAUAUAUAUAGUAUACAUCAUUUGUAUACUUUAAUUUUUUUUUUCCAGGAAAUGGGCCAGGACCCUUUAGCAGACUUUUUUUUUUUAAAAUAGGACCAAGGGUCCAAAUGUUUUUCUUUUUUGGGAAAUUUUUCAAAAUGUCAAUAUUUUAGCAUUUAAGAGGGCUCAUUAGCAACAUUUUCAAUAUUUAGUAAAAAUGUCAAAUUUUAGUUUGUUAUGUAUCUUGUUUAUGUUUUUAUUAUUUAUUUUUAUUUAAUGAAUAUAAUUAUUUAAUAACAAAAGGGAGAAAAUCAAGGGAGAGAAUAUUUCAAAAAAAGGUAAGGAUCCUUAAUUUUCUCAUCAGUUACAUUUUCAAAUAAAAUUUAAAUCUUAUUCUUUUUUUCUCUCCAGAAUUUUUACCUUUUUAAAAUUAUAUUCAUUUCACAAUAUAUUCUAUUUAUAUUUAUUAUAGUUUUUAUUAGUUUGUAUUCAUUCCAAUAGGUAUGCCGAAUUUAUCUAUAUAGUCAUUUAAGAAAUAUAUUUGUAUUUUCAUAUAUUUUUUCCUAUAUAGUUAAUUUUUCAUCAAAAUAUUGUAUGUAUUCAUUUCAAUAUGUAUUUUAUUUGUAUUUCUAUUUAUUCUAGUUUUUAUUUAGAAUUUUGUAUAUAAUAUAUAAAAUACAAAAUAUUAGUAUGAUGAAAAAGUGAAUGAAAUAUAAAUUUGAAAAGAAAUAAUUGAAUAUUUGGUGUACUCAUUCUUAAAUAAAAUACAUAACUAGUUGACAUACCUUUAGAAUAAAUACAAAUUAGAAAAAAUGUCAAAUUCAUAAACAAUGCAACAUAAUUUUUUAAUGAAUACAACUGUUAAUUGUAAAAAUACAUACUGACUAAUACAGUAUCAAAAUUCAAUAUAUACUUUCAAAUUUAUGAAUACAA